AUCCUUUUGUAGUUCAUAAGCAUGAUGAUUGGGUUUUCACACACGUGUGAAAUGUGCCUCCCUCAAAUCUUGUUAAGAUGUCAGCACGUUACCUGUCUGACA
This 102-nucleotide small nucleolar RNA is filed under the name Microcebus murinus (gray mouse lemur). Its description in RNAcentral is "Small nucleolar RNA U13 (ENSMICG00000035175.2)". It matches the Rfam family "Small nucleolar RNA U13". Lineage: Eukaryota; Metazoa; Chordata; Mammalia; Primates; Cheirogaleidae. The record is from Rfam by way of RNAcentral.